Molecule: small nucleolar RNA, 143 nt
Organism: Acomys russatus (golden spiny mouse)
Lineage: Eukaryota; Metazoa; Chordata; Mammalia; Rodentia; Muridae
Product: small nucleolar RNA SNORA48
Exons: 1
Source: RefSeq, a predicted model, not a curated record
UGCCCCCUGGCAAUGGGGAAAGAGACGCCUUGUUGUUGGUAUUGCUCUUUUAUCAGUCAAGGCAGAGCAGAUGGCAGUCCUUGUUUGCCCUAGCUUGAUGCCUGGCCUGGUGUGCAAAGCUGACUUAUGCCUAGAACACACAA